Molecule: transfer RNA, 76 nt
Filed under: Zenaida asiatica (white-winged dove)
Lineage: Eukaryota; Metazoa; Chordata; Aves; Columbiformes; Columbidae
Description: tRNA-Gln
Source: RNAcentral
AACAGUUUCCGCUUGGCCUCUCUCCAAGAACUACGGCCUGAAAAGCCGACGUUGUAAGUUUCAACUACAGAAGCUA